CUGAGCAAGGCCAGGGAUCAAACCUGCAACCUCAUGGUUCCUAGUCGGAUUCGUUUCCACUGCACCACAACGGGAACUCCCUAAAGUACUUAUUAUUAAAAAUGCUAACCAUCAUGUGAACCUUUAGCAAGAAUAAUCAGUUUAUUGGUGGAAGGUCUUACCUCCCAUGUUGAUGGCUGUUGACUGAUCAGGGUGAUUGCUGAAGGUUUGGGUGGCUGUGACAGUUUCUUAAAGUAAGAUAACAAUGAAGUUUGCUGCAUCUAUUGAGUCUUCCUUUCAGAAAAAAAUUUCUCUGUAGCAUGUGAUGCUGUUUAAUAGCAUUUUACCCAGUAAAACUUCUUUCAGAACUGGAGUCAAUCCUUUCAAACCCUGCCAUUGCUUUGUCAACUACAUUUGUGUAAUAUUCUAAAUCCUCUGUUGUCAUUUCAACAAUUUUCACAGUAUCUUAACCAGAGUAGAUUCCAUCUCUAGAACCACUUUCUUUACUCUUCCAUAAGAAGCAAAUCCUCAUCUAUUAAAGUUUUAUCAUGAGAUUACAGCAAAUCAGUCAUUUCUUCAGGCUCCACUUUUUUUGUUGCUGUUGUUGUUUUGGCCACACCUGCAGCAUGCAGAAGUUCCCAGGUCAGGGAUGGAAUCCAUGCCACAGCACUGACUAGAGCUGCAGCAGUGACAAUGCUGGAUUCUUAACCCUCGAGCCACAAGGAACUCCAGGCUCCACUUCUAAUCAAAUUCUUUUGCUCUUUCUGCCUCAUCUUCAGUUAGUUCUUUAACUGAGCUCUUGAACUCCUCCAAGUCAUCCAUAGGAGCUGGAAUCUGCUUAUUCCAAACCCCUGUUAAUGUUGAUAUUUUGACUUCUUCCCAGGAAUCCUGAAUGUUCUUAAUGGCAUCGAGAAUGGUAAAUUCUUUCCAGGAGUUUUUCAAUUUACUUUGCCCAGAUCCAUCAGAGGAACCACCUCUAUGGCAGCCUUAUGAAAUGUAUUUCUUAAAUAAUCAGACUUGAAAGUUGAAAUUUCUCUUUGAUUUAUGGGCUGCAGAAUUCAUGUUGUAUUAGCAGGCAUGAAAACAAUAACAAUCCCCAUCAGAGAUCUUGGGUGACCAGGUGCAUUGUCAGUGAACAGUAGUAUUUUGAAAGGAACCCUUCCUUCUUCAUAAGAGUCUCAAUAGUAAGCUUAAAUUAUUUAGUAAACCAUGCUGUCAACAUGAGGCAGAAUGUUAACUCAGGUAGCUAGUGAAGGAGCAUGGGCUCAGAUAUAUUCUUUGAUAUGGAUAUUAAUUAACAUUUGUGGCUUAAGGGCUCUAGGGAGUAACACCUCCACAGGCCUUGUUUUAUUAUAGGAAACACGCAUUCCCCAGAGGCUUUGUUUACUAUAAGAAAUGUGAAUCUCUAGCCCACUCCUCAACUGAUAAAAAUAAAUAAAUAAAUAAAAAAUUAAAAAAAAAUGAGAGGAAUGGUGACUUAAUCUAAGGAAAGAAAAGGACAAAGAAACCCUAAAACUUAUGGGACAUUUCCAACCCUAAAACCCCUAUUGGAAAAGGACUGAUGUAGGUAAUUGAGCAAGGUCAAUGGGAAAAAAAUCACAUCUUUCUGGACCCCACGUUGGUGCCCCUCCCCACCUUUAAGAGAUAAAAAUCUCUAUAGGACCAUAAAGAAGGGGGAUCUUCCCCCUCCCAGCAACCCUGGGAGCUAUUUGCUUUCCUUUAAUAAAGACUUUGCUUGCUUGCUGCCUGUGUGUUCAAGGAGUUCAUUCUUUGACUGCUGUGAACAAGAACCCAGAUUCCGGUAUCAUCUUUCUGGUAUCAAACAGAUGUGCUAUUACUAGGCUAGGCUCUAUUGUUCCAUUUGUAUAGCACAGGUAGAAUAGUUUGGGCAUAAUUAUUCUGGGAUUUUUUGAAUGUCAAAUAAACACUGGCUUCAACUUCAGGUCACCAGCUGCAAGAGCCCCUAACGAGAGAGUUAGCCUUGUCCUUUGAAGCUCUGCAGCCAGGCACUGACUUCUCCUCUCUAGCUAUCAAAGUCCUCAUGGGAUCUUCUUCUAAGGAAACUGAAGGCCAAAGGCUGAAAAUUCCCUUGGUUAAAGAUACAAUGCAGAGGAGUGGAAUCACCAUAUACGUGGCUUGCCUUCCAAUUUUUGAAUUUUAGAAAUGUAUUCUGAGAUUGUGAGUGUUUUACAAAGUAUCUAAUGAAAAUUUCCUCUACAGCAGUCACAAUUAUCAAGCCAAAACGAGUCUCAUAACUGAAAUUACCUUCAAAUUUCAAUAAAUCCCUCAGCAAGCACUUGUUCUGGUUGGCUGUAUCCAGACUUUGGUUGAGAAAUGAGUGGUUUAAAACUGAAGUUGGCUGAGUUUCUGAGUAUGGAAAUCCGAAUAAAAUAUUGAAUUCGUGGGUUUAAA
This is a non-coding RNA of Sus scrofa (pig), 2391 nucleotides long. NCBI's taxonomy places the organism in Eukaryota, Metazoa, Chordata, Mammalia, Artiodactyla, Suidae. The record is from RefSeq and is a predicted model, not a curated record.